GUGGGGAAUUUUGGACAAUGGGCGAAAGCCUGAUCCAGCCAUGCCGCGUGCAGGAUGAAGGCCUUCGGGUUGUAAACUGCUUUUGUACGGAACGAAAAGACUCCUUCUAAUAAAGGGGGUCCAUGACGGUACCGUAAGAAUAAGCACCGGCUAACUACGUGCCAGCAGCCGCGGUAAUACGUAGGGUGCAAGCGUUAAUCGGAAUUACUGGGCGUAAAGCGUGCGCAGGCGGUUAUAUAAGACAGAUGUGAAAUCCCCGGGCUCAACCUGGGAACUGCAUUUGUGACUGUAUAGCUAGAGUACGGUAGAGGGGGAUGGAAUUCCGCGGGUAGCAGUGAAAUGCGUAGAUAUGCGGAGGAACACCGAUGGCGAAGGCAAUCCCCUGGACCUGUACUGACGCUCAUGCACGAAAGCGUGGGGAGCAAACAGGAUUAGAAACCCGUGUAGUCC
Molecule: ribosomal RNA, 450 nt
Filed under: uncultured bacterium
Lineage: Bacteria
Description: partial 16S ribosomal RNA
Rfam family: Bacterial small subunit ribosomal RNA
Source: RNAcentral